This 711-nucleotide ribosomal RNA is filed under the name uncultured Staphylococcus sp. RNAcentral describes it as "bacterial SSU rRNA". It matches the Rfam family "Bacterial small subunit ribosomal RNA", at positions 60 to 753 of the family's 1533-position model. Lineage: Bacteria; Bacillati; Bacillota; Bacilli; Caryophanales; Staphylococcaceae. The record is from RNAcentral.
AGUCGAGCGAACGGACGAGAAGCUUGCUUCUCUGAUGUUAGCGGCGGACGGGUGAGUAACACGUGGAUAACCUACCUAUAAGACUGGGAUAACUUCGGGAAACCGGAGCUAAUACCGGAUAAUAUUUUGAACCGCAUGGUUCAAAAGUGAAAGACGGUCUUGCUGUCACUUAUAGAUGGAUCCGCGCUGCAUUAGCUAGUUGGUAAGGUAACGGCUUACCAAGGCAACGAUGCAUAGCCGACCUGAGAGGGUGAUCGGCCACACUGGAACUGAGACACGGUCCAGACUCCUACGGGAGGCAGCAGUAGGGAAUCUUCCGCAAUGGGCGAAAGCCUGACGGAGCAACGCCGCGUGAGUGAUGAAGGUCUUCGGAUCGUAAAACUCUGUUAUUAGGGAAGAACAUAUGUGUAAGUAACUGUGCACAUCUUGACGGUACCUAAUCAGAAAGCCACGGCUAACUACGUGCCAGCAGCCGCGGUAAUACGUAGGUGGCAAGCGUUAUCCGGAAUUAUUGGGCGUAAAGCGCGCGUAGGCGGUUUUUUAAGUCUGAUGUGAAAGCCCACGGCUCAACCGUGGAGGGUCAUUGGAAACUGGAAUACUUGAGUGCAGAAGAGGAAAGUGGAAUUCCAUGUGUAGCGGUGAAAUGCGCAGAGAUAUGGAGGUACACCAGUGGCGAAGGCGACUUUCUGGUCUGUAACUGACGCUGAUGUG